Amborella trichopoda is the source of this 5886-nucleotide non-coding RNA. NCBI's taxonomy places the organism in Eukaryota, Viridiplantae, Streptophyta, Magnoliopsida, Amborellales, Amborellaceae. The record is from RefSeq and is a predicted model, not a curated record.
GGGGCUUAAUCAUGCUUAGCAAGGGUUUUAGAGAGAGUGAAGCCAUGACUUCGCACCUGCGAGCAAAAUGUAGGGUUUUAACUUGUAACAGAUGCGAACAUUGGAUUUUAACCAGUUAGAAAUUUAGGGUUUUUUGGGUAGGUGUCUGAGAGUGUGGGCAGCGCAAAAAGGAGAAAGACGAGGUGAAACCAAUAAAAAUAAUAGGGUUUUGAAUAUUCCAAAAUAUUCGGCUUUAUUUUAUUUAUUUUUUGAGUUUUUAUUGUAUGUUGCAAAGCAUGGCUCAUGAAGGAGAGAGGAGCAUGAAAAGAGAUGCUUCUGGAAACCCUAAAACCCUUUUGCCAGACUUAAAUGUGACUAUUCUGGUAGAGAGUUGCAAUGAAACUCAGGUAGUUCUUAUUGAAAUGCGAGCUAAAAGGUGUUCUAGUUUUUCUCGUUAAUGGAGAGUCACUAGCUGCUCUUUUGAGAACAUCUCCAUCUAAACCCCAAGAAGAACAUGCUGCUAAAUUUACCAGGAAAGAAGAUAUGCGACCAGGGUGAUCAAAAGAAGCUGAUCUUUCUCCUGUAACUCAAUAUGACCCUUCUCAAUCACCUCGCUCAAUUGUAGAGAGUGGGGCACCAUACAUGGAAGGAUAUAUAGAAACAGAGCCACUUAAGCUUAUUGAGAUCAUUUUCUUUUUCUUUGUGUUGAUUCCUUUUGUUAUCUGUAUUUCAUCAUUUGCUUUGAGAGAUUGUGAUGUUGAGAAGGUAUAAUACUAUCCGAUGGACUAUAGUUUGUUGAUCAUAUGGCCAUCAAUGAACAAAUUCAUGGAUGGACAGGAGACAGAACAUGAUUGACCUACAUAGUGGUGGUCCUUUGUUAUCUAUUGGUAUCUCAUCUUUGUAGCUCCAAUAUUUCUGAGGUUCGAGCAGGCGUCAGAUGCUUCCAGAUUGAUAUCCACCCGACAUGGCCAUAUGGAAGAUGGAACUGUAUAGACACACUCAUUUGUUGCUUCAAAAAGUCUCAUGACAAUUACUGUCAACUACGGCAGAUAAUAAUUGAAAUGGAGUCAUGCAAGAGACAUGACGAGGAUAUGAAGAGGGCAGACAGUAUGGAUGCUACAAAGAGGGACGCAUUAAUUGAAGAGAAUGCCAAGAGUGACGCGCUCAUUGCCAAGUUGGAAGCAAAGGUCACAAUGACUGAUGCAUUGCGGGUGUGAGAAAGUGGGUCAAAGAGAAGGAGGCUGCCUUAGAAGCAUCUCAAAAGCAUGCCACUACUUUCCUCAAGUUUUUGAAGAAGGCUGAGUGUGAGAUAGAUAUGGUGAGAUCAGAGGCAUUGCGGGCACACAAGGAGGCUAAGGAAGCCGACUUUCAGGAAAUGGCAUCACGAGCAGAGGCCUCUUGGAUUCGGGAGAAAUUCGAAGACAUGCACCGUAGUAGGAGAGAAAUUCGAAGACAUGCACCGUAGUAGGAUAGAGGUGGAGCAAGCAGAGGCCUUGAGGGAGCAAGCAGAGGCAUUGAGGGUGCAAGCCGAGGCUAAGGAGGCAAAUCAUGAGAAGAGGUUGCAUUAGUCGAGGACUCAAGGGCCCAAUCUGAGGUUAUGGAGCUACGCAUUAACUUAGAAAAGGCACAAGAAGUGGCAUCCAGGGCACGGGCAGAGGUAGAGGAACUACGUUUUCAUUUAGAGGAGGCACAAACUGAGUCCUUGAAGGCUCACGAGAAGGUUGAAGAAUCUUACUGUCAAAUCGAGGCAUCCCAAGAGGAGGCAUCAAGAGCACAUGCCAAGGUUAAGGCAAUGGACAUGCUGAUAGAUGUGGCUCGGGAAGAGGCAUUGAAGGUAAAAUCCAAGGUUAAGAAGAUGGGUCUUAUGAUUGAGGCAGCUCAAGAAGAGGCAUCAAGGGCACAAGCCAAGGUUAAGAAGCUAGAAGAGGCGGCGCAAGUGGGGGCAACAGGGGCUCAAUUCGAGGUUGAGGGGGCUCACCAUCGUUUAAAGGCAACACAAAUAGAGGCUUUGAGGGCAAAAGCUGAGGUCAACGAGCUGCGCUCACAUUUAGAAGUGGCACGAGCUGAUGCCCUGAGGGCUCGAGCCAAGGUCAAAGAGGCACAGAGUCAACUAGAGGAGAUGGAGGCCCUUGAUGGCGCAAAGCAAGAUUGAGGAGGCAAAAUGUGAGAUAGAGGCAGUGCAAGCAGAGACCUUGAAGGCACAGGACAAGGUUAAGAAAGCGCAAGUGAGAGAGAAGAGGCACAAGCAGAAGUAUGGAAGGCACGGGCUGAGGUCAUGGAGGCUCAUUGUCAGAUGGAAGCUGCGCUAGAGGAGGCAUUGAGGGCAAAAAAUGAGGUUAAUAGACUUGCAAGGGAGCUUGCGAGUCUUCUUUCACUCAUUUUCUUACCAUUUAGGCUAUUUAUGCACAGUCGAAAUUGAGGUGAAAGUGGGAUAUUAUAAAAAACAAUCGGGGUUGGGGAACUGGGUAUAUCACUUGAGCCAAAAUCUUUUUCAUAUUCUUUUGUUGGUUUAUUCAUGUGGGGUGAAAAAUAAGAAAAGAGUAAUAAAAGGAUAUGAAAAUUUAUGGGAAAAUUUGCUUAAAACCCCCAAAUAUAGACUUCCUAGGCACUUUACCCCAGCCUAAUUUUUCCUAACAUAUUUUUGCCAAAACCAAAUUUUUUUAGUUAAUACAAUAUAAAAAAUUCAUUUUUUUUGAGAAAAUACCCUUCUCGGCCUUAACAAAUCAUUUUUGGAAAGGAAACGCCGGACCGCACUUGUACAAUGCCAGACUAGUCACUUCCGUACCCCCACUUUAAAAUGCCGGACUGCCCUUUCAAGAUGCCAGAUCGGGCCGUCUCUUCUUUUAAACGAGAGACCGCCUCUUUUAAACGUUGGACCGCUCGGUAUUUUUGUCAAAAAAAAGUGUGUAUUGGGGGUAUUAGCUAAAAACGUUUGUUUUGGGGAAAAAUAUGUUAGAAAAAGUUGGGCUGGGGUAAAAUGUCUAGAAAAUCCAUAUUUGGUUUGGGGGGUUUUACGCAAUUUUCCAAAAUUUAUUCAUUGCAUUCUACAAUUUCCGAAGGAAGUAUGCUAUAACUUAUUUGAUCAUGGUAGUAUUUGAUAUUAAGGGCCAUCACAGUUCCAUACCGUUUUGUGCUGUGAUGGAGGCAAUUGGUACCCACAAGAUAGGUCACUAGUUUAGUUGCUUGUCUCACCCUCCAUCACUGUUGAACCAAUUGAUGGAAUGGUGAUGAACUUGUGCCCACCUAGUUAACAUGAUCUUAAAGGUUGUAGGAUAGUUUCCCUUAUUUGAUAGAUAAUUUUACGCAUGUAUAAUUCAAGGAUUGAAACAGGUAAACCACUGAAAAGUCAAGCUUCUAUUUUCAAGAUGGCCAGUACUUGGCUUGAGGCAGGCUGCUCGAAUAAAAUCAGAUGAACUUCUUAAAAUUUGGCAUUGAACUACCUUACCAACUUGAGAAAUCCCCCCCUCUCUCUAUAUAUUUUUGUGCAGGAGAAUGCCAAGAGCCAGGCAACGUGGGUGAGUUGGAUAGACCACCUCACCCUUAUUGGCCAACUCAAGGACGAGAUCUUAGCAUUACAUUGUACUCUUGAUUGCUCAAGGGAUAGAAUGAAUAUCAAUUCAAGAGGUCAGACUAUUUCAAUGUCUGGGAUAGAUCAAGGCAUACUACACUCACGACCGAAUACGACUAAGGAAAGGGUUUCAUCUUCCGAGUGAAACCAAGGAGGAUCAAGGUGACUUCGAGGAUGAACAAGUAGAAUAUAUCGGUUUUGAGUCCUCUUUCUUUGGGAAGAGACAAGGAGACAAGGAGAAGAUUAACCACAUCUUUUUUUGGUUGGUUGGAGAUUGAAUUGCAUUGCAUGUAGACAGACACGUUGAACCAGGUAAGUCUAAUAUUCGAUUCAACUUUCGACCAUCCAUUAGCAGGAGAAGAUGGUGGAUGUAGCCUUCGGUUAUGACAUGACACAGUCCAAAGUACCAUCUUGCUUGAAGGUGGCAUAUUUCCCCAUUUCGUUGACAGUUUUGCCGAAUUUCGUAUGUCAAUCAUAUAUUGUACAUAGGGCUGGCAAUGGGUCGGGCGGCCCGGCCCUAGAAAAGUAUGGCCUGAGCCACAAACUAUGGCCUGAGGGCCAGCCCGCCUCAGCCCUUUAUUUUCUUUUGUUUUUUCUUUUUCUUUUGCUUUUUUGUUUUUUAUUUUGCCCCUGACCAGCCAGGCGAGACCAAGGCUGGGCUCGGGCUGGCCCGAUGGGGUCAAACCAGCCCAACACGUUUUUUUUUUUUUUCUUUUUUUCCUUGAGAGAACUUGACUUUGUAUUAAGGAGAAAAGAACAUGUACAAACCCAUCAAUGGGGGCAGUAUACAAAGAUUUCCAAGAUAGUGAACUAGUAACAAAAAUUCUAUAUAUCUACUGAAAUGACAAAUGUAUCAAGGAAGCCACGUGGCCCAAUCGUGUCAAUGCGCCCUUCCCUUAGCCAACGAUGUUAACCCUCCUUAGCGAGGGCAUCAGCUACAGAUUUGGCCUCCCACCAAAUAUGUGUCCAAGAGAUACUAAUAUGCUGUUCGAAAUAUGUGUCCAAGAGAUACGAAUAUGCUGUUCGAAAUUUCAUAAAAAAUAUGAGCAAGCCUCAAGGGUAAAAUGGUGGGUUUGGAAUCUCUUUCGACAGCAACCGUGGGGUUUAUGUGGUAUUUAAAAACAUUAUGAGAGCUUGUAUGAGUAUAACUUAGUGAGAGUGGUCAUCUUGUAGAUCAUAUUACACAAAUGUGAUUUGUUUAUACUCGGAUUAGAUUCGAUGUGUUCGGCCAAUUGGGUUUGGAAAAACUUAAGAUACCUAGGGCGAAAAAAGUUUAGUGGGUUAUCUCUAGAUGAGAUUGGAGUAUGUCCAGAUGAGUGUUGAGGGAUUGUUUGGCCCUUGUCUAAGAUAAAUAGCUUUUAAAGAUAGGACUAAAAUCUUAUCGUUAUAUCAUCACACGGAAUGUACAUAGAUAGUUGUUUUAGUAUUUACAUUGUUCGAUAAAAAUAUAUUUGCUUAUCAAAAAGUAAACUCAAUUUUUUUAUUAUUUGUGGUACUUGUGAUCUUUUGUCAUGAUUUUUUGAUGCAAUUAGUGAUAAUUGUCUCUAAUGAUAUGCACUAUCUUUUUCUCGAUAAAAACUCUGAUUGACAAAAAAAAAAUAGACAAUUUGUCUGAUAAUAUGGAUGAGAAAUUCUAAAAAAAAGAUUUGCAUACACACAAAAUGAAAAAAAGAAAUUUAUGUAUUUAUAACUUUAUUAAAAAGACCCUCCCUAAUUUUUGUCUAUUACUUGCAUACCUUUUUAUUUAUCUUUUUUUUUUUUGUUUUUUUCAUGUUAUUCUUAAUCUACAAUCACUUUUUGGGUGUUCAAGAUAUGAAGUUAGAAAGGGAUUUUAUGACUUUGGAUUUUGGUGAUCCGAAAUCAUGUUCUAUUUUGUUCUAUAAAAAAGUUAUUUAUGACUCCAAAUAUUGAAUAUCUUGAUACUUUAGCAAAAUAAACAAUAGAAAUUGAGCCACACUUGAGGUCUUUAAAAUCCCAAUUUAUAAAGGCACUUGACUUAGGAUUUAAAAAAAUAAAAUGCAGUGGUGCUAUAUUUGUGAAAAAAAGAAAGAAAUAGUAAAGCCUUACUUAUACCUUCAAAAUCCAAAGCGGAAAUUCAAAGAAGAUCCAAAGUUAUGGUAAAUUAAGAAUAAAACGAAAAAUGAUGAAAAAAAAAAUACACGUAAUAAACAAAAAUUAAGAAGAGUUUUUUUAAUGACAGUAAUUAAGGGGAUGUAUAAAUAAGGACCCGGUUUCUAUACGGUGAAGCCUGUAUAUGUUGAAAUGUGAGUUUUUUAAUAAAUCUAUUUUUGUGAUGGAUUUUUUAACUUGAUUAUCAUGAUAUGAAAAAAUAAAAAUUA